GCUGGGCGUGGUGGCUCACGCCUGUAAUCCCAGCAUUUGGGGAAGCCGAGGCGGGUGGAUCACCUGAGGUCAGGAGUUCAAGACCAGCCUGGCCAACAUGGUGAAACCCUGUCUCUA
This is an unclassified non-coding RNA of Macaca fascicularis (crab-eating macaque), 117 nucleotides long. It matches the Rfam family "Metazoan signal recognition particle RNA". From Rfam's summary of the family: The signal recognition particle (SRP) is a universally conserved ribonucleoprotein. NCBI's taxonomy places the organism in Eukaryota, Metazoa, Chordata, Mammalia, Primates, Cercopithecidae. The record is from Ensembl.